AGAAGCUGCCUGGGGAAUGGCUCGGCUCGGGCGCCGAAGACGGUCGUGCCAAGCUGCGAAAUGCCGCGGGUAGGCGCAUGGAACCUGUGAUCCGCGGAUCGCCGAAUGGGACCUCCUGCUCCUUCGGGAGCGUUCCGUAAGGAACGGGAACCCCCGGAAUUGAAGCAUCCUAGUACGGGGAGGAAGAGAAAUCAACCGAGAUACCCUCAGUAAAGGCGAUCGAAGAGGGCUCAGGGCAAACCGAAUCCGCCCCGGUAACGGGGUAGAGAUGUGGCGUUCGGACUCCGGCACGUCCUACCUCGCCAACCCGAAGUCCCCUGGAAUGGGGCCACAGAGAGGGUGACAGGCCCGUAGGGGUACGCGAGGAGGACGAUUCGGAGGAUCCAGAGUAGCGUGCGUUGGAAAUCGCGCGCGAAGGCGGGGGGCAUCCCCCUCCAACCCUAAAUACGACCCGAGACCGAUAGCGCAGUAGUAGCGUGAGUGAAAGCUGAAAAGUACCCUUGACGGGAGGUGCAAAGAGCCUGAAACCAGGUAGCCACAGGCCGAUAGGGCGCGCAAGCGACGAAACCCGAAAGGGUGGAGCGGCGUCCUAUCAUCCGUUUUGAAAAACGGGCCAGGGAGUCCGGAUGGACGGCGAGGUUAACCGCCUUACGCGGGAAGCCGUAGCGAAAGCGACAGGUCCGCAGCGCGCAAGCGCGAGGGACGUCGUGGGCUCGCGAGGAGUCGUCUGUGAGGUACCCGAAGCCGGUCGAUCUAUGCCUGGGCAGGUUGAAGCCUUCCGAAAGGGAGGUGGAGGACCGACCCGAUGUUGAUGUGCAAAUCACUCGAUUGACCUGGGCAUAGGGGUGAAAGGCCAAUCUAGGCCGGGAAUAGCUGGUUCCCCUCGAAAUGAGUCGCAGCUCAGUCUCGGUGGAGGACGGACCGUGGGGUAGAGCGACGGUUUGGGCGCUUAGGCGGAGAAAUCCGUCGGUGCCCUGACAAACUCCAAACUUGCGGUCACCUGAGAAGCCGGGAGGCGGGCAUCGUGGGUAAGCUUGGUGUCCGAAAGGGUAAGAACCCAGCCUGCGGUUAAGGUCCCAAAGUGCCGACCAAGUGCAAACGAAGGGCGUUCGCGGUCUCAGACAACUGGGAGGUGGGCUUAGAAGCAGCCAUCCUUCAAAGAUAGCGUAACAGCUCACCAGCCGAGAUCGCGGGCCCCGAAAAGGGACGGGGCUAAGUCGGUCACCGAUACCGCAGAACACGGAAACGUGAUUUCGUAGAGGGGCGCCGUGCGCGGGGAGAAGUCGGGCCGUGAGGUCCGAUGGACCGCGUUCGGACGCGAAUCCUGGGAAGAGUAGCAGCAAAGUGGGGUGAGAAUCCCCACCGCCGAAGGGGCCAGGGUUCCUCGGCAAUGUUCGUCAGCCGAGGGUUAGUCGGUCCUAACAUGUCCCUUAACCGAGGACGUGGAAAGGGAAGCGGGUUAAUAUUCCCGCACCGUGCAAGUCCCUGCCCAUCGCAUGACGCAUCGAGGCAGUCCGAGCGUGCUUGCCUGUACGCCCAAGCGUGGAACUCCGGGGAGAGCCGUCAUGGCGAGAACCGGACGAAAGCGCGAGUGGGAGAGGUGAAGGCCUCUCUUCGGCCGAUCCUCGGUGCCCGUGAAAAGUGUGAUGGGGUCAACUUGUGCGUCCGUACCGAGAACUGACACAGGUGCCCCUGGGUGAGAAGCCCAAGGCGUGUCGGCGAUAAUCCAGGCGAGGGAACUCGGCAAAUCAGCCCUGUACCUUCGGAAGAAGGGGUGCCAGCCUCGAGAGAGGCUGGUCGCAGUGACUAGGGCGCUCCGACUGUUUACUAAAAACGUAGGUGGCCGCCAAAUCGAAAGGUCUUGUACGGCCGCUGAAGCCUGCCCAGUACUGGUAUCUGAAAACCCGUUUCAACGGGGCGAAGGACCAGUAAACGGCGGGGGUAACUAUGACCCUCAACAAACAGGGGGUGUCGAAGUCGGCUAUAUGCGGGGAACUCCGAGCAUCCUCGGGUACCGCCGAAGUUUGGCGGUAACAAUCUCGAGGUGCGGACAAUCCGCAGGGAAGACCGAUCGCGAGGUCGGAACCCUCAGAGACUGUACGCCGAUCGCCGCCAGAAUGGCGGUGAUGAUACAGUCCGACCCUCACGGCGACGUGAGGAGGUCGCGAGAAAUCGCGGCCCGCCGCUCCCUCGAUCAGGGAGCGGUCUCGAAAGUAACAGCGUGCUUAAGGUAGCGUAAUACCUUGUCGCUUAAUUGGCGACUUGCAUGAAGGCCCAACGAGAGCGCUACUGUCCCCGCCUGGAAGCCGGUGAAACUGACUUACUGGCGCACAGUCCAGUACCUUCCAGCUGAAAGCGAAGACCCCGUGGAGCUUUACUGCAGCCUGUCGCUGCCGUAUGAGUUUGGAUGUGUAGCGUAGGCGGGACUCGUUACCAGGGCCGACCGCUAGGCCGGCUCCGAGAGACCGAUGAAACACCGCCCUUCUGGGUUCGUACGGCUAACACGUUCGCGUGAACAACGGUAGGUGGGCAGUUUGGGUGGGGCGCCACGCCCUCAAAACGGUAACAAGGGCGCCCAAAGGUUGACUUAGGUGGGUCAGAAAUCCACCGGUAACUGUAAGGGGACAAGUCAGCCUGACAUGGACUUGCCCAACGAGAGUCCAUGACACGAAAGUGAGGCCUAGCGAACCAAUGAGCCUCAGAGAUGGGGGCCAUUGAUGUCAGAAAAGUUACCCCGGGGAUAACUGAGUUGUCUCCAGCUAGAGUUCCUAUCGACCUGGAGGCUUGCUACUUCGACGUCGGCUCUUCCUAUCCUGGCGGUGCAUGAGCUGCCAAGGGUGGGGUUGUUCGCCCAUUAAAAGGGAUCGUGAGCUGGGUUUAGACCGUCGUGAGACAGGUUUGUUGCUUUUUGCUGGAAGCGCUUUGGUGCCUGAGGGGUAGGUCCCUUUAGUACGAGAGGAACGGGGGAUCGGCGCCUCUAGUCUAUCGGUUGUCUGGCAAGGCAUUGCCGAGCAGCCACGCGCCAUCGGAUAAGGGCUGAACGCAUCUAAGCCCGAAGCCGCCCCCAAGACGAGGCACCUCACGGCCGUUGUAAUCGACAACGUUGAUAGAGCUCGGGUGUGC
RNAcentral lists this ribosomal RNA (3123 nucleotides) under Methanobacteriota archaeon. Its description in RNAcentral is "Euryarchaeota archaeon 23S ribosomal RNA". It matches the Rfam family "Archaeal large subunit ribosomal RNA". Lineage: Archaea; Methanobacteriati; Methanobacteriota. The record is from RNAcentral.